GAUGAAGAACGCAGUGAAAUGCGAUAAGUAAUGUGAAUUGCAGAAUCCAGUGAAUCAUCGAAUCUUUGAACGCACAUUGCGCCCGCCAGCAUUCUGGCGGGCAUGCCUGUUCGAGCGUCAUUUCAACCCUCGACCUCCCCUUGGGGAGGUCGGCGUUGGGGACCGGCAGCACACCGCCGGCCCUGAAAUGGAGUGGCGGCCCGUCUGCGGCGACCUCUGCGUAGUAAUACAGCUCGCACCGGAACCCCGACGCGGCCACGCCGUAAAACACCCAACUUCUGAACGUUGACCUCGAAUCAGGUAGGACUACCCGCUGAACUUAAGCAUAUCAAUAAGCGGAGA
This 342-nucleotide unclassified non-coding RNA is filed under the name soil metagenome. Its description in RNAcentral is "partial contains 5.8S ribosomal RNA, internal transcribed spacer 2, and large subunit ribosomal RNA". The stretch from base 1 to 120 matches the Rfam family "5.8S ribosomal RNA", at positions 35 to 154 of the family's 154-position model. The record is from RNAcentral.